CCUACGGGAGGCAGCAGUGGGGAAUUUUGGACAAUGGGCGCAAGCCUGAUCCAGCCAUGCCGCGUGCGGGAAGAAGGCCUUCGGGUUGUAAACCGCUUUUGUCAGGGAAGAAAUCCUUUGGGCUAAUACCUCGGAGGGAUGACGGUACCUGAAGAAUAAGCACCGGCUAACUACGUGCCAGCAGCCGCGGUAAUACGUAGGGUGCGAGCGUUAAUCGGAAUUACUGGGCGUAAAGCGUGCGCAGGCGGUUAUGCAAGACAGAUGUGAAAUCCCCGGGCUUAACCUGGGAACUGCAUUUGUGACUGCAUAGCUCGAGUACGGCAGAGGGGGAUGGAAUUCCGCGUGUAGCAGUGAAAUGCGUAGAUAUGCGGAGGAACACCGAUGGCGAAGGCAAUCCCCUGGGCCUGUACUGACGCUCAUGCACGAAAGCGUGGGGAGCAAACAGGAUUAGAUACCCUGGUAGUCCACGCCCUAAACGAUGUCAACUGGUUGUUGGACGGCUUGCUGUUCAGUAACGAAGCUAACGCGUGAAGUUGACCGCCUGGGGGNGGACGGCCGCGAGGUAGUAAACGUUAAAGGUAAGUUAGACGGCGUGAGACGUAGACCGACGGACGACGACGAGGGAGGAGG
RNAcentral lists this ribosomal RNA (630 nucleotides) under uncultured bacterium. RNAcentral's name for it is "bacterial SSU rRNA". The stretch from base 1 to 542 matches the Rfam family "Bacterial small subunit ribosomal RNA", at positions 338 to 873 of the family's 1533-position model. The record is from RNAcentral.